RNAcentral lists this ribosomal RNA (292 nucleotides) under uncultured bacterium. Its description in RNAcentral is "partial 16S ribosomal RNA". It matches the Rfam family "Bacterial small subunit ribosomal RNA", at positions 505 to 796 of the family's 1533-position model. The record is from RNAcentral.
GUGUCAGCAGCCGCGGUAAUACGUAGGUGGCAAGCGUUACUCGGAAUCACUAGGCGUAAAGCGCAGGUAGGAGGUUGGAUAAGUCUCUUGUGAAAGCUCCCGGCUUAACUGGGAGAGGUCAAGGGAAACUGUUCGGCUAGAGUGUGGUAGAGGAAGAUGGAAUUCCCGGUGUAGCGGUGAAAUGCGUAGAUAUCGGGAGGAAUACCUAUGGCGAAAGCAGUCUUCUGGACCAUCACUGACUCUGAUCUGCGAAAGCUAGGGGAGCAAACAGGAUUAGAAACCCUCGUAGUCC